Molecule: ribosomal RNA, 429 nt
Filed under: Triticum aestivum (bread wheat)
Lineage: Eukaryota; Viridiplantae; Streptophyta; Magnoliopsida; Poales; Poaceae
Description: partial small subunit ribosomal RNA
Source: RNAcentral
AUGCAGCCAUAUCAUCUGAAUGCUUUUGGACUGCGGACACACAUUAAACUCCAAAGUAAGUACUACGGCCCCUUCCGGACAAUCGCCAAAGUGGGGCGUGUGGCCUACAAACUGCUAUUGCGUGACAAGGUGAACAUUCAUCCGGUCUUUCACGUGAGCCAACUAAAGAAGCAUGCCAGACAGAAAGCCAUUCCCUACGCCGACCUCCCACUGGUUCGUGUUGAUGGGAUGAUCCAAACCGAACCCGUUCUGGUCCUGGAAACCCGUCAGAUCCCUCGCAAAAACUUACCCGUCGUACAAUGGCUUAUUCAAUGGGCUAACCUCCCUCCCGAUGAGGCUUCAUGGGAAGACGCAGCAUUCAUGAAGAAAACCUUUCCGGCCUUCUUCAAGGACAGCAUCGACCGAUGGUUCAACCAAUCACCUCCUUGA